This 492-nucleotide ribosomal RNA is filed under the name uncultured bacterium. RNAcentral describes it as "partial 16S ribosomal RNA". It matches the Rfam family "Bacterial small subunit ribosomal RNA", at positions 30 to 507 of the family's 1533-position model. The record is from RNAcentral.
AUUGAACGCUGGCGGCAUGCUUUACACAUGCAAGUCGAGCGGGAACAGGCCUUCGGGUGCUUAGGAGUGGCGAACGUGUUUGUAAUGCAUCGGAACGUAGCCAGGGGUGGGUGAUAACGCAGCUAAAGCUGGGUUAAUACCGCAAGUGACCGGUGGUAGAAAACGGGGGACCGGCCAGCCAUGUUUGGCCGCUCGCCUUUGGAGCGGCCUAUGUCGGAUUAGCGAGUGGGUGGGCUGAAGGCCUAACAAGGCGACGAUCCGUAGCUGGUCUGAGAGCACGACCAGCCAGACUAGCACUGAGAAACGCCCCCCACUUCUACGCUAGGACACAGUGGGGACUUCUAGAGGAUGCGGGCAAGCCGGAUCCAGCACUGCCGCGUGCGGGAAGAAGGCCUUCGGGUUGUAAACCGAUUUUGCCAGGAACGAAACGGUGUCCGCUAAUACCGGGCGCUAAUGACGGUACCUGCAGAAUAAGCACCGGCUAACUACGUG